This 575-nucleotide ribosomal RNA is filed under the name Aspergillus caesiellus. RNAcentral describes it as "eukaryotic LSU rRNA". It matches the Rfam family "Eukaryotic large subunit ribosomal RNA", at positions 58 to 648 of the family's 3401-position model. The record is from RNAcentral. Lineage: Eukaryota; Fungi; Ascomycota; Eurotiomycetes; Eurotiales; Aspergillaceae. RNAcentral also lists the same sequence under 1 other name.
AAAGAAACCAACCGGGAUUGCCUCAGUAACGGCGAGUGAAGCGGCAAGAGCUCAAAUUUGAAAUCUGGCCCCUCCGGGGUCCGAGUUGUAAUUUGCAGAGGAUGCUUCGGGUGCGGCCCCUGUCUAAGUGCCCUGGAACGGGCCGUCAGAGAGGGUGAGAAUCCCGUCUUGGGCAGGGUGCCCGUGCCCGUGUGAAGCUCCUUCGACGAGUCGAGUUGUUUGGGAAUGCAGCUCAAAAUGGGUGGUAAAUUUCAUCUAAAGCUAAAUACCGGCCGGAGACCGAUAGCGCACAAGUAGAGUGAUCGAAAGAUGAAAAGCACUUUGAAAAGAGAGUUAAACAGCACGUGAAAUUGUUGAAAGGGAAGCGCUUGCAACCAGACUCGGCCUCGGGGUUCAGCCAGCAUUCGUGCUGGUGUACUUCCCCGGGGCCGGGCCAGCGUCGGUUUGGGCGGCCGGUCAAAGGCCCCAGGAAUGUAUCGUCCUCCGGGACGUCUUAUAGCCUGGGGUGCAAUGCGGCCAGCCUGGACCGAGGAACGCGCUUCGGCACGGACGCUGGCGUAAUGGUCGCAAACGAC